Pelobates cultripes (western spadefoot toad) is the source of this 216-nucleotide non-coding RNA. The record is from the annotation of a GenBank genome assembly. Lineage: Eukaryota; Metazoa; Chordata; Amphibia; Anura; Pelobatidae.
AGUAAAGUCUCACGUGUAAGACAGUACCCCCUAUGUACAGGUUUUAUGGCGUUUUGGGAAGUUACAGGGUCAAAUAUACCACGUUACAUUUGAAAUUGAAAUUCGCCAGAUUGGUUACGUUGCCUUUGAGACUGUAUAGUAGCCCGGGAAUGAAAUUUACACCCAUAAUGGCAUACCAUUUGCAAUAGUAGACAACCCAAGGUAUUGCAAAUGGGG